Bos taurus (domestic cattle) is the source of this 73-nucleotide non-coding RNA. The record is from Rfam. NCBI's taxonomy places the organism in Eukaryota, Metazoa, Chordata, Mammalia, Artiodactyla, Bovidae.
UCCUUGGUGGUCCAGUGGUUAGGGCUCUGUGCUUCCUCUGCAGGGGGCACAGGUUUGAUCCCUGCUCAGGGAA